CGGAGGAUCCAAGCGUUAUCCGGAAUCAUUGGGUUUAAAGGGUCCGUAGGCGGGUUUAUAAGUCAGUGGUGAAAGCCCAUCGCUCAACGAUGGAACGGCCAUUGAUACUGUAGAUCUUGAAUUAUUAGGAAGUAACUAGAAUAUGUAGUGUAGCGGUGAAAUGCUUAGAGAUUACAUGGAAUACCGAUUGCGAAGGCAGGUUACUACUAAUGGAUUGACGCUGAUGGACGAAAGCGUGGGUAGCGAACAGGAUUAGAUACCCUGGUAGUCCACGCCGUAAACGAUGGAUACUAGCUGUUCGGAGCAAUCUGAGUGGCUAAGCGAAAGUGAUAAGUAUCCCACCUGGGGAGUACGUUCGCAAGAAUG
This 366-nucleotide ribosomal RNA is filed under the name uncultured organism. RNAcentral describes it as "bacterial SSU rRNA". It matches the Rfam family "Bacterial small subunit ribosomal RNA", at positions 526 to 896 of the family's 1533-position model. The record is from RNAcentral.